UGAUAUGAUUAUUUGCCAUCACCCAAAUCUCAUUUACCACUCUCUCUCUCCCUCUCUCCCAGACUGGUAUUGGAUUUGCUUCUCUUACCCAUGGCGACAAUCAGCAUCGCUUCUGUUUCGAUCUCAGGUGGAUCCCAUCUCAAAUCACAUGAACUUUGGUCCACAAAGUGCAAUUCACUUGGUAAUACAUCAAGAUUGACAUAUAAAAGGAAAUCCAACCAACUACAAACCAACCACAACCUGUCUGUCCGUGCGGAGUACAA
This is a non-coding RNA of Camellia sinensis, 263 nucleotides long. The record is from RefSeq and is a predicted model, not a curated record. Lineage: Eukaryota; Viridiplantae; Streptophyta; Magnoliopsida; Ericales; Theaceae.